GCAUAGUGCCUCCAGUUGGCACCGAGAAAGGUUGAGCAGACCUGCAGCCUUAGAGGGGAAACAGUGGCUUCUCUAAGUUGCCAGUUUGGAAGGGGCUCCUCGUUUCAGAGCUGAGGUCGUGAUCAUAGAUGAGGACCGAGAGCAGAGACUCCUUCGGAAACGUAGCCUGGAUCUCGAAUGACCUGGCCCAGCGGGGAGAGACACCCUCAUCAACCAAAGGGAAUAUUUACCCCUGAGAGAAACGUUCACUGCUUUUCCCGUUCAUUGAUGACUCUGAACAAAUUCGCUGCAUGGCCGGAGGAUCGCCUCACGGACCCGGAUUGAAAUUGUCGGCCAUUUGCUGACCGAGUCAUAUUCUUGAUAUGCAGCCCAUGGAGAAGAUGGAUGUCGUCAGAAAGCCCAGAGAGGAGCAAGAAUGAAUUCAAAAAAAAUGAUGAGAAUGAUGGAAGAGAAAAAUAAAGAUUUGCAUGGAAGUGACUGAU
Molecule: long non-coding RNA, 482 nt
Organism: Ornithorhynchus anatinus (platypus)
Lineage: Eukaryota; Metazoa; Chordata; Mammalia; Monotremata; Ornithorhynchidae
Exons: 3
Source: RefSeq, a predicted model, not a curated record